AGCUGGACGGGGUCGACGGCGCGGGUCACGACGAGGUAAUCGCGCAUCACGAUCCCGUGACGGUUCUC
This 68-nucleotide small RNA is filed under the name Rhodococcus koreensis. Its description in RNAcentral is "ASdes TB sRNA". It matches the Rfam family "ASdes TB sRNA". Lineage: Bacteria; Bacillati; Actinomycetota; Actinomycetes; Mycobacteriales; Nocardiaceae. The record is from RNAcentral.